GAUGAACGCUGGCGGCGUGCCUAAUACAUGCAAGUCGAGCGAACAGACGAGGAGCUUGCUCCUUUGACGUUAGCGGCGGACGGGUGAGUAACACGUGGGUAACCUACCUAUAAGACUGGGAUAACUUCGGGAAACCGGAGCUAAUACCGGAUAAUAUUUCGAACCGCAUGGUUCGAUAGUGAAAGAUGGCUCUGCUAUCACUUAUAGAUGGACCUGCGCCGUAUUAGCUAGUUGGUAAGGUAACGGCUUACCAAGGCAACGAUACGUAGCCGACCUGAGAGGGUGAUCGGCCACACUGGAACUGAGACACGGUCCAGCCUCCUACGGGAGGCAGCAGUAGGGAAUCUUCCGCAAUGGGCGAGAGCCUGACGGAGCAACGCCGCGUGAGUGAUGAAGGUCUUCGGAUCGUAAAACUCUGUUAUUAGGGAAGAACAAACGUGUAAGUAACUGUGCACGUCUUGACGGUACCUAAUCAGAGAGCCACGGCUAACUACGUG
This 497-nucleotide ribosomal RNA is filed under the name uncultured bacterium. RNAcentral's name for it is "partial 16S ribosomal RNA". It matches the Rfam family "Bacterial small subunit ribosomal RNA", at positions 28 to 507 of the family's 1533-position model. The record is from RNAcentral.